AUCAAAUGAAGAAAACGUUACGGUGGAUACCUAGGCAUCUAGAGACGAUGAAGGGCGUGGAAACCAACGAAAUGCUUCGAGGAGCUGGAAACAAGCUAUGAUUCGGAGAUUCCCGAAUAGGGCAACCUUUUAUACUACCUAUUGAAUUCAUAGAUAGGAAAGAGACAACCCAGUGAAGGAAACAUCUUAGUAGCUGGAGGAAAAGAAAGCAAACGCGAUUCCCUUAGUAGCGGCGAGCGAAAUCCCAACAGCCUAAACCAACUCGAUUUUUUCGAGUCGGGGUUGUGGGAAGAAAUGCUAUGAAGAAUUUACUUAACUAGGUGAAGCAGCUGAAUCCUGCACCAUAGAUGGUGAAACUCCAGUAGCCGAAAGUUCAGUGAUAUCUAAAUUUCUUAUCCCGAGUAGCUAGGGGCACGUGAAAUCCCGUGUGAAUGAGCGAGGACCACCUCGUAAGGCUAAAUACUCCUAGGUGACCGAUAGUGAAAUAGUACCGCGAGGGAAAGGUGAAAAAGAACCCUGUAGGGGAGUGAAACAGAACAUGAAACCGUAAGCUGUCAAGCAGUGGGAGGGCGAAAAGCCUGACCGCGUGCCUGUUGAAGAAUGAGCCGGCGACUUAUAGGGAGUGGCGUGGUUAAAGAAAAUCAUCUGAAGCCAAAGCGAAAGCAAGUCUUAAUAUUUCGCUAAUGUCACUUCUUAUCCACCCGAACCCGGGUGAUCUAACCAUGGCCAGGAUGAAGCUUGGGUAAAACCAAGUGGAGGUCCGAACCGACCGAUGUUGAAAAAUCGGCGGAUGAGCUGUGGUUAGGGGUGAAAUGCCAAUCGAACUCGAGCUAGCUGUUCUCCCCGUAAAUGCGUUGAGCGCAGCGGUUGAUGACUUGGGCUAUCUAGGGGUAAAGCACUGUUUCGGUGCGGGCUGCGAGAGCGGUACCAAAUCGUAGCAAACUAAGAAUACUAGGUAUGCUUUCCAUCAACCAGUGAGACGGUGGGGGAUAAGCUUCAUCGUCGAGAGGGAAACACCCAGAUCACCAGCUAAGGCCCCUAAAUGGCCGCUAAGUGGCAAAGGAGGUAAGAAUCGUGAAACACCAGGAGGUUUGCUUAGAAGCAGCCACCCUUAAAAGAGUGCGUAAUAGCUCACUGGUGGAGCGUUCUUGCGCCGAAAAUGAACGGGACUAAGCGGUCUGCCGAAGCUGUGGGAUUUUUUACAUAGAAGACUUGAAGCUUUGCUUCAAGAUCUAAGUGUAACGCAGAAGACUUCCACAAAGUGGAAGAUCCUAAUAAAACCGUAGGUUUUAUUUUGGACUUUUUUUCGUCAAGAACUAAUUAGUUCUUCACCAUUUAACUUCUGCCUUGCAGAAGUCAAACAAUGGAGAGGCGCCUUCGCUACGUUACACAAAGAUUUUUGUCAGAAGACUUUUUUUCCUGACCAUGGGUUUACUUCGUUAAAAAUCGGUAGGGGAGCGUUCCGCUCUAGGGUGAAGCAUAAACGCAAGUUAAUGUGGACAAAGCGGAAGUGAGAAUGUCGGCUUGAGUAACGCAAACAUUGGUGAGAAUCCAAUGCCCCAAAACCUAAGGAUUGGAGGACUAGGCUCGUCCAUGGAGGAUGAGUCAGGACCUAAGGCAAGGCCGAAAGGCGUAGUCGAUGGAAAACAGGUUAAUAUUCCUGUACUAAUUCUUGAUUGUACCGAUUUACGAAGAAAGCAAAGGUUAAUCAAAAUUGGAUUUUUGGUGGAAACGUUCGAGGUGUCGAGAGGUAGAAUAAAAACUAACCUUGUUUUGAUCUUUGAUCAAAGCCUGCACAACUUCGUUGUGUUGGAGCUGAGACGUGGAUACGCAUUCAUUCCCUGCUUGGGUCACUCUAAGCAUAGUGGAAACUUAACUAGUUGUUAAACUUCCUAGAAAAGCUCGAACUACUAAUAAUUAAGAAUUACCUGUACCCCAAACCGACACAGGUAGGUGGGUAGAGUAUACCUAGGGGCGCGAGAUAACUCUCUCUAAGGAACUCGGCAAAAUGGCCCCGUAACUCGGGAGAAGGGGUGCCUCUAGAAAUAGAGGCCGCAGUGUCCAGCCCAGCGACUGUUUACCAAAAACACAGGUCUCCGCUAAGUCGCAAGACAAUAUAUGGGGGCUGACGCCUGCCCAGUGCCGGAAGGUGAAGGAAGUUGGUUAUUUGACCCAGGUUAGAAAAGCUGACAACCGAAGCCCCGGUGAAGGCGGCCGUAACUAUAACGGUGCUAAGGUAGCGAAAUUCCUUGUCGGGUAAGUUCCGACCCGCACGAAAGGCGUAACGAUCUGGGCACUGUCUCGGAGAGAGGCUCGGUGAAAUAGACAUGUCCGUGGAAGAUGAGGACUUCCUGCACCUGGACAGAAAGACCCUAUGAAGCUUGACUGUAGCCUGGAAUUGAAUUCGGGCUUUCUUGCGCAGCUAGGUGGGAGGCGUUGAUAAUUCUCUUCCGGGAGAGUUGGAGCCAUCAGUGAGAGAACCACUCUGGAGAAGCUAGAAUUCUAAUGGCGAUCCUUGAAUCAGGACGUUUGACAGUUUCAGGUGGGCAGUUUGACUGGGGCGGUCGCUCCUAAACAGUAACGGAGGCGUGCAAAGGUUCCCUCAGGCUGGACGGAAAUCAGCCGAAGAGUGUAAAGGCAAAAGGGAGCUUGACUGCAAGACCUACAAGUCGAGCAGGGGCGAAACGGGCCUUAGUGAUCCGACGGUACCGAGUGGAAGGGCCGUCGCUCAACGGAUAAAAGUUACUCUAGGGAUAACAGGCUGAUCUUCCCCAAGAGUUCACAUCGACGGGAAGGUUUGGCACCUCGAUGUCGGCUCAUCGCAACCUGGAGCGGUAGUACGUUCCCAAGGGUUGGGCUGUUCGCAUGAAAGCGGUACGUGAGCUGGGUUCAGAACGUCGUGAGCAAGUUCGGUCCAUAUCCGGUGUAGGCGUAAGAGCAUUGAGAGGAGUCUUCCAUUGUACGAGAGGACCUGGAAGAACGCACCACUAGUAUACCAGUUCUCCUGCCAAGGGGAUACGCUGGGUAGCCAAGUGCGGAGCGGAUAACUGCUGAAAGCAUCUAAGUAGGAAGCCCACCUCAAGAUGAGUGCUCUCGUUUAGUUUUUACUAAACAAAGGUCACAGUAAGACUAACUGUUCGAUAGCUAUCAAGUGUAAGGCUAGUAAUAGUUGCAGCUGAGAUAGACUAACAGACCGUAAUGAAUUUU
RNAcentral lists this ribosomal RNA (3207 nucleotides) under Pseudochlorella pringsheimii. RNAcentral describes it as "bacterial LSU rRNA". It matches the Rfam family "Bacterial large subunit ribosomal RNA". The record is from RNAcentral. Lineage: Eukaryota; Viridiplantae; Chlorophyta; Trebouxiophyceae; Chlorellales; Chlorellaceae.